Long non-coding RNA from Aedes aegypti (yellow fever mosquito), 534 nucleotides. RefSeq lists it as uncharacterized. NCBI's taxonomy places the organism in Eukaryota, Metazoa, Arthropoda, Insecta, Diptera, Culicidae. The record is from RefSeq and is a predicted model, not a curated record. The transcript has 2 exons.
AUCUACGCACAUUCAGAACACUGAAAACCUCUGAAAACAAUAAAAAUAAUCACAUUUACUGUUGAAGUAGGCGCAUGUUUACGAACACCCUUGAAUAAGCUAAAAAAUCAAAACAAUAUAUAACAACUUUUACCAAAAUCGUCGUUUUAUUUACCGAAAAACUGUAAAUCGUUCAGAUUCACCGUAGACUGUAAGUUUUUACCGUACUUCAGUUCAUAUUGAUUCAAUACUUUACCGAACGAAUGGUAACUAGAAAUUUCUGAGUCAGCCAUAUUUGUUUAGAAGUGCUAAUCAACACGACGGUAUCGCAUACGAUACCGUCUAAAACUCUGUUUAUAAACACUGUUUUUGGAAAAAAAAAAAAAAAAAAAAACUACUACGGCAGGAUGAGCGCCCGGUACUACUUUUCCUAUACAACAGCAAAAUUAUGUUUCCGGAUGGCAUCGUCGCAUAUCAAGUAUAAACACCCAUAACGGAAUCAGUGGCGGUUUUGUUCAUAAGUGGUAAACAGCUGCAAAGAUGUCAGUUUUUGAU